UACGCAGGGGGCUAGCGUUGUUCGGAAUAACUGGGCGUAAAGCGCAUGUAGGCGGAUUUUCAAGUCAGCGGUGAAAUCCCGGGGCUCAACCCCGGCAUUGCCUUUGGUACUGGAGAUCUGGAGUCUGGGAGAGGUGAUUGGAAUUCCGAGUGUAGAGGUGAAAUUCGUAGAUAUUCGGAGGAACACCAGUGGCGAAGGCGGCUCACUGGCCCGAGACUGACGCUGAGAUGCGAAAGCGUGGGGAGCAAACAGG
Molecule: ribosomal RNA, 253 nt
Filed under: uncultured bacterium
Lineage: Bacteria
Description: partial 16S ribosomal RNA
Rfam family: Bacterial small subunit ribosomal RNA
Source: RNAcentral